This 467-nucleotide ribosomal RNA is filed under the name uncultured bacterium. RNAcentral's name for it is "partial 16S ribosomal RNA". It matches the Rfam family "Bacterial small subunit ribosomal RNA", at positions 28 to 507 of the family's 1533-position model. The record is from RNAcentral.
GAUGAACGCUGACAGAAUGCUUAACACAUGCAAGUCAACUUGAAUUUGGGUUUUUAACUUAGGUUUGGGUGGCGGACGGGUGAGUAACGCGUAAAGAACUUGCCUCACAGCUAGGGACAACAUUUGGAAACGAAUGCUAAUACCUAAUAUUAUGAUAAUAGGGCAUCCUAUAAUUAUGAAAGCUAUAAGCGCUGUGAGAGAGCUUUGCGUCCCAUUAGCUAGUUGGAGAGGUAACGGCUCACCAAGGCGAUGAUGGGUAGCCGGCCUGAGAGGGUGAUCGGCCACAAGGGGACUGAGACACGGCCCUUACUCCUACGGGAGGCAGCAGUGGGGAAUAUUGGACAAUGGACCGAGAGUCUGAUCCAGCAAUUCUGUGUGCACGAUGAAGUUUUUCGGAAUGUAAAGUGCUAUCAGUUGGGAAGAAACAAAUGACGGUACCAACAGAAGAAGUGACGGCUAAAUACGUG